UACGUAGGGGGCAAGCGUUAUCCGGAUUUAUUGGGUUUAAAGGGUGCGUAGGCGGUCGGAUAAGUUAGAGGUGAAAUCCCGAGGCUCAACUUCGGAAUUGCCUCUGAUACUGUUCGGCUAGAGAGUAGUUGCGGUAGGCGGAAUGUAUGGUGUAGCGGUGAAAUGCUUAGAGAUCAUACAGAACACCGAUUGCGAAGGCAGCUCACUAGACUGCAACUGACGUUGAGGCUCGAAAGCGUGGGGAGCAAACAGG
This 253-nucleotide ribosomal RNA is filed under the name uncultured Rikenellaceae bacterium. RNAcentral describes it as "partial 16S ribosomal RNA". It matches the Rfam family "Bacterial small subunit ribosomal RNA", at positions 524 to 776 of the family's 1533-position model. Lineage: Bacteria; Pseudomonadati; Bacteroidota; Bacteroidia; Bacteroidales; Rikenellaceae. The record is from RNAcentral.